RNAcentral lists this unclassified non-coding RNA (263 nucleotides) under Hevea brasiliensis (rubber tree). Lineage: Eukaryota; Viridiplantae; Streptophyta; Magnoliopsida; Malpighiales; Euphorbiaceae. The record is from RNAcentral.
CAAGCAGCAACAAACUGCACCCAUUGUAUCUCUUUCAACCUAUGAUAGUACCUCAAAAACCUUUUCAAGAGUCAUUGACAAUUCCCAAUUGUCUCUAUUUCCUGAUUGUGGAAGCAAAACUUAUGGUGAUCGGAAACUUAAUAGAACUGACAAAAGGCCUUCAGCCAAGCAAAUGAAGAAGCGAGCCAAUUGGGCACCCGCUCUCUUCAGGAAAUCCCGAAUGAGUGAAUGCCCUUUCUGAUCAAGGCCUUAAGAAAGAAAAG